UACGAACUGUGCGAACGUUAUUCGGAAUCACUGGGCUUACAGGGUGCGUAGGCGGUCCGACAAGUCAGGUGUGAAAGCCCUCGGCUCAACCGAGGAACUGCGCUUGAAACUGUUGGGCUCGAGUCAGCUAGAGGUGCACGGAACUUCCAGUGGAGCGGGGAAAUGUGUUGAUAUGGGAAGGAACACCGGAGGCGAAAGCGGUGCACUGGGGCUGGUCUGACGCUGAGGCACGAAAGCCAGGGGAGCGAACGGG
Molecule: ribosomal RNA, 253 nt
Filed under: uncultured bacterium
Lineage: Bacteria
Description: partial 16S ribosomal RNA
Rfam family: Bacterial small subunit ribosomal RNA
Source: RNAcentral